This 514-nucleotide long non-coding RNA is filed under the name Chlamydomonas reinhardtii. Its description in RNAcentral is "long non-coding RNA (CREI_LNC001121)". Lineage: Eukaryota; Viridiplantae; Chlorophyta; Chlorophyceae; Chlamydomonadales; Chlamydomonadaceae. The record is from RNAcentral.
UCUGAUGCACGUUACAUGCACAUGCACGUACGUGCCUGUCCCUGACAUGGCUGCACAGAGGCUCUAGCGCCUCCAACCAGGGGAGCCCCUGCAGCUCGUGCGACCAUCACGCCCAAGGUGGCGGCGCCACGCACUAGUGCAACCCUACUGUAUUUGCUGACAGUAACACUGCCACCAUGACCGCUACAUCAAUCCAGCACAGCUCCUAGCACCACAGAGCCAUCCUACGUCUAGCGCUGUCUACACAAUGGUUCGGGCGCCGCGGCGGUGUGCCCUGCGAGCACAUACACAUAGCGCCGGAUGUAGAGGCACGUACGCAUGAUUGCGGUGCUACAAGGGGGGACAACCCGAGCAUGCAGUGUGCACCCAGGGGCUAUGCGGGCUGCAUCCGGCAAACUCCAUUGCAUGCACCACAUAGACCCUGCCAACAGUCCAACACCCUUGUUCCGCACCUGCUGAGCAAUACCUACAAAAUACCAGCGAGUAGACAGCAGGGGGAGCAGCGACUCUGAAC